UCCUCUUCACCAGGAGCAUGAGCUGUGCAGUGAUGCUGCUGUUGGUGGGGGCCUUAGUCCUGCUUGGGCCGUAAGCUGAGGUGGCACUUCUGGAGUUGGUGCUCCAAGCAAGGGUGGCUUCUUCCAGAAGCAUGCAGAAUGGAAAUGGACCAUGAAAGGUAUCAUGUGCUGGUGAAGGCAGCUGGGGCAGCACUAACAGAGAGUAGUCAAAAUUCUACACAGCAAAACCUAAAUACAGAUGCCAAAGCAUUUUGAGAGCAACUGGAAAUACAAUACAAGAUUUAUGAUGCCCAUUCCUGGAGGCACAUUUUCAAAAGCAAAUGAUAAAGAUUCCAGACCUGAUCCAGUGAAGAUGUAGGUGAGUACAUCACUGAUGUGCAAGCUCAAAACCAGGGCUUAAUAGGUCCUUUCUAAAUGCUUGCCUGAUGUUUAUACCACCUAAAACUUGCUACUUGG
RNAcentral lists this long non-coding RNA (456 nucleotides) under Anas platyrhynchos platyrhynchos (common mallard). RNAcentral describes it as "lncRNA (ENSAPLG00000023624.1)". The record is from RNAcentral. Lineage: Eukaryota; Metazoa; Chordata; Aves; Anseriformes; Anatidae.